GACGAACGCUGGCGGCGUGCUUAACACAUGCAAGUCGAACGGAAAGGCCCUGCUUUUGUGGGGUGCCCGAGUGGCGAACGGGUGAGUAACAAGUGAGUAACUAGCCCUUGACUUUGGGAUAACUUCCGGAAACUAGGGCUAAUACCGGCUAGGAGCUCCUGCUGCAUGGUGGGGGUGGGAAAGUUUCGGCGGUUGGGGAUGGACUCGCGGCUUGUCAGCUUGUUGGUGGGGUAGUGGCUUACCAAGGCUUUGACGGGUAGCCGGCCUGAGAGGGUGACCGGCCACAUUGGGACUGAGAUACGGCCCAGACGCCUACGGGAGGCAGCAGUGGGGAAUAUUGCACAAUGGGCGGAAGCCUGAUGCAGCGAAGCCGUGUGCGGUAUGACGGCCUUCGGGUUGUAAACCGCUUUCGCCUGUGACGAAGCGGGAUUGACGGUAAUGGGUAAAGAAGCACCGGCUAACUACGUG
Molecule: ribosomal RNA, 468 nt
Filed under: uncultured bacterium
Lineage: Bacteria
Description: partial 16S ribosomal RNA
Rfam family: Bacterial small subunit ribosomal RNA
Source: RNAcentral